GAACGAUUAGAUAUGAUAUUUGAAAGCCAAAAAAAUGCAAUUACUUAUCCAAAAACAUGAUUUUCGAUAAUUCGUCUCAUAGUAACACUGAGUCUUUGGGACCGACUUACCCACUUUUCUUCACCAUCGUUCAUGACCCAGUCGCCAGCACGAAAAGGAAUUUCAUGAAACCAGUCAUACCGUGCUGUCCCACUCAUUAAAAGCAGACUUCCCUUUUCUAAUCGGAUUUUACUUUUCAAUUUUAACUCAGGAUGUGUAAAAAUCAUGGUUGUAUUUGAUAAGAACGAAAAGAUCGCUACGCCGUCACCAAACAUUUCUAAGUCUUUAUGUGGUAUAAUUCCAUCACCUGGAUUAUAAACUUGCAUGAUGAUGGCUUCAGCAUCCUGUCCUUUCCACAACCUUUGUUUAAAGUCACUAGGGAUAUAAUCAUUUAAACAGUUAAUAUGUGCCGGAAAAGGUAUAUACAGAUGCGACUGCUUUCCAGAACCAUAUAUUGAAAGAAGUUCCUUAGGAACGUUAUUAAUCAGAUUUCUUUGGACAGAUUCGGGAAGACAGUUAGGAUAAUAGUUUAUACCCUCAAUCGUCUCAACUGGUACCACCGUCCAAUUUUCAAAGUCAUCCAAGUAAUCAUCUUUCUCCUGAUCUACUUCUAGCAAAGCUUCAUCAAAUUCCAAACCAGCGUCUGACAGCAGAAACGAAUCGCUCAUAUUUUCAUACAACAUUUUCUAAACUGAAACGAAAAGAUUGCUAAACUAUCCGUAGCAUCUGUUCUAUGUUCACUUUGAAAUUUUGUUAGAAAGCAAUUUCUCCGUUUUUACAACUAAGAUUCAGAUCACCAGUUAAAUGAAACUGUCUAGAAAAUUGGGUUCUUGAAUUAUGAACGCGGUUUCGCCAAAUAAAUCUCAUGUUUUUCUACCACAUCCUUCCCAACAUUGUUACCUAAACAUAUUUAACAACCCCAUUUGAACGGUGAACAAGUUUUUAAAAACCUUAGUAUUAGAGUAGUAUUAUUCAUAUAAGUAAAUUUUAGAAAACUAGUUGUUGGAUUCAAAGGUUUCUCUCAUGUGGUGUGGAGAACGAAAAAAGCGAUUUUGGCGUUAGAAUUGAUGAGCGAGGCACUUUUGGGAGGGUUUGAAAUAAUUAAAAUUAUUCAUUUUCAUCAAAUCACAGUAAGUAGAUCAGUGCGAUUUUACAGUGAGUCUUGGAUGUUCAUCUUUUUUACUUGUAAGCUCUUAAAAUAUCGUAGAAUUA
Molecule: non-coding RNA, 1251 nt
Organism: Schizosaccharomyces pombe (fission yeast)
Lineage: Eukaryota; Fungi; Ascomycota; Schizosaccharomycetes; Schizosaccharomycetales; Schizosaccharomycetaceae
Source: the annotation of a GenBank genome assembly